This is a transfer RNA of Homo sapiens (human), 73 nucleotides long. It matches the Rfam family "tRNA". From Rfam's summary of the family: Transfer RNA (tRNA) molecules are approximately 80 nucleotides in length. NCBI's taxonomy places the organism in Eukaryota, Metazoa, Chordata, Mammalia, Primates, Hominidae. The record is from Rfam.
GGGGGUAUAGCUCAGGUGGUAGAGCAUUUGACUGCAGAUCAAGAGGUCCCCGGUUCAAAUCCGGGUGCCCCCU